Molecule: ribosomal RNA, 517 nt
Filed under: uncultured fungus
Lineage: Eukaryota; Fungi
Description: eukaryotic LSU rRNA
Rfam family: 5.8S ribosomal RNA (bases 175-328)
Source: RNAcentral
ACAGUAGUCGCCCGGGUUGCCGCAAGGCCUCCCGGGUAACCUACCACCCUUUGUUUAUUACACUUUGUUGCUUUGGCAAGCCUGCCCUCGGGCUGCUGGCUCCGGCCGGCGAGCGCUUGCCAGAGGACCUAAACUCUGUUUGUCUAUACUGUCUGAGUACUAUAUAAUAGUUAAAACUUUCAACAACGGAUCUCUUGGUUCUGGCAUCGAUGAAGAACGCAGCGAAAUGCGAUAAUUAAUGUGAAUUGCAGAAUUUAGUGAAUCAUCGAAUCUUUGAACGCACAUUGCGCCCCUUGGUAUUCCGGGGGGCAUGCCUGUUCGAGCGUCAUUUCAACCCUCAAGCUCUGCUUGGUCUUGGGCCGCGCCGGCAACGGCGGGCCUCAAAAACAGUGGCGGCGCCAUCGUGUCCCUCAGCGUAGUAAUUCUCCUCGCUGUUGGGCCCCGGUGGCCGCUGGCCAGCAACCCCCAAUUUUCUAUGGUUGACCUCGGAUCAGGUAGGGAUACCCGCUGAACUUAA